CUACGGGAGGCACCAGUAGGGAAUAUUGCGCAAUGGGCGAAAGCCUGACGCAGCAACGCCGCGUGAGUGAGGAAGGUCUUCGGAUUGUAAAGCUCUGUUAAGGUGGAAAAACGGACUUUGGUCCAAUAGGCCAGAGUAGUGAUGGUACACCUAGAGGAAGCACCGGCUAACUUCGUGCCAGCAGCCGCGGUAAUACGAAGGGUGCGAGCGUUGUUCGGAUUUAUUGGGCGUAAAGCGCGCGCAGGCGGAAUAACAAGUCAGGUGUGAAAUCUCGGGGCUCAACCCCGAAACUGCGCCUGAAACUGUUAAUCUAGAAUCUCGGAGAGGGCAGGGGAAUUUCUUAUGUAGGAGUAAAAUCCGUAGAGAUAAGAAGGAACACCAGAGGCGAAGGCGCCUGCCUGGACGAGUAUUGACGCUGAGGCGCGAAAGCGUGGGGAGCAAACAGGAUUAGAUACCCCAGUAGUC
RNAcentral lists this ribosomal RNA (465 nucleotides) under uncultured bacterium. Its description in RNAcentral is "partial 16S ribosomal RNA". It matches the Rfam family "Bacterial small subunit ribosomal RNA", at positions 339 to 795 of the family's 1533-position model. The record is from RNAcentral.